GGCACGUGAAUCGGUUGCAGAAGCAUUCCUCCAAUGGCGUUCGCAGAUUGGUGAAGCUACUUGUGAGGAAGUGGAAGGAAAUUGUGGAUGAGUGGGUGAGGUUGAAUCAAUCGGGUGGAACAGCUUCUCUCAUGGCUGAUGGGGACUCUCCACAGCUGAAAAUCACCCAAAACGGGCAUCAUCAGAUGUAGGCGCCCCUUGAGUUGCUUUUUCCUCAAAAGAACGAGCAGCAAAUUGCUUUUUCCUCAGAUGAUGGUGAUAGAAAUGAUAAUGAUAGAGAUGACGGGGCUGAUAUUAAAAGAGAAGCUGGUAGUCAAGAGGGAACCCAGCAAGUUGCUGGAACAAAUGAAAAUGCAGCAGAUGGAUCUAACCCCCAGCCGAAGAAACUUGUUCCAAUUUUUCUUGCGUACUACUUGAAUAGCAUGAUGAGGUUCAAAAUUUUAAAUUUCUUAACCCUGUGCGUUUCUUCUUUUUCACAGUUUUGUACAGAAAUAUGAUCCCUAGUAACUUUACAAUGAGAUUAAAUGUGAAUCAGCAACUUUCACCGGAGUUGGAUCUCUUCAUGAAACAGAGGCUCCAAAAUUAUGAGUUAAAACGAAGCAAAAUCGCUUUUUGUGUUUUCAAAAUCACACAAAGGAACCUAUGAUGGAGAGUGUCCCUUCUACUGCUCUUACUCAGGCUAUAAUGAUGAACUUAUGUGGUUAGCAACAUGGUUAUACAUGGCUACGAGGAAGCCUGCGUAUUUGAAGUACAUACAAGAAGAAUCGAUAAGUGCUAGCGUAACAGAAUUUAAUUGGGAUCUUAAAUAUGCAGGAGCCCAAAUCCUUCUUACCAAGUUGAAGAUGGGUAUUUGCAACCAGGAUGCAGUCAAGCAGUUGCAAUCCAUGAUGGAAAAUGGUGUGUUCUUCACAACCUUCAAA
Arachis stenosperma is the source of this 920-nucleotide long non-coding RNA. RefSeq lists it as uncharacterized. The transcript has 8 exons. Lineage: Eukaryota; Viridiplantae; Streptophyta; Magnoliopsida; Fabales; Fabaceae. The record is from RefSeq and is a predicted model, not a curated record.